AGAGUUUGAUCAUGGCUCAGAACGAACGCUGGCGGCAGGCUUAACACAUGCAAGUCGAACGGUUGUAGCAAUACAGCAGUGGCAGACGGGUGAGUAACACGUGGGAACCUUCCUAGGGGUACGGAACAACUCAGGGAAACUUGAGCUAAUACCGUAUACGUCCGUGAGGAGAAAGAUUUAUCGCCCCUAGACGGGCCCGCGUAGGAUUAGGUAGUUGGUGGGGUAAUGGCCUACCAAGCCUACGAUCCUUAGCUGAUCUGAGAGGAUGAUCAGCCACACUGGGACUGAGACACGGCCCAGACUCCUACGGGAGGCAGCAGUGGGGAAUCUUGGACAAUGGGCGCAAGCCUGAUCCAGCCAUGCCGCGUGAGUGAAGAAGGCCUUCGGGUUGUAAAGCUCUUUUACCAGGGACGAUAAUGACGGUACCUGAGAAUAAGCCCAGGAUUGCC
RNAcentral lists this ribosomal RNA (449 nucleotides) under uncultured Parvibaculum sp. RNAcentral describes it as "bacterial SSU rRNA". It matches the Rfam family "Bacterial small subunit ribosomal RNA", at positions 8 to 502 of the family's 1533-position model. Lineage: Bacteria; Pseudomonadati; Pseudomonadota; Alphaproteobacteria; Hyphomicrobiales; Parvibaculaceae. The record is from RNAcentral.